CCUAAUUGGUUUGAAAAACACUUAAAGAUAAUUAGGAUCAAUUUCCAUUAUUCUAUGUCUUUGCAUCCAGGACAUAGAAUUAGCUAAAACUCAGUGUUAUUUCUUUUUAUCUGUUUGAUUUGUACGUGAUUUAUGUGCUAGUUGAUAUAAAUUUUGUUCAAACAUUAGGCAUGCAUACAUUUUUUGUGAUCCAAGAUUACCAUCUUCAUUAAUGUUACCAAUAAAGUUGCCAUUCUAGAAUGGCGGGAACGUGUUUUAGCUCCGCAACAGCCGCUCUAUGUACGUGAUACAAAUUGUUUUCGGUGGUAUGGAAUAUGGAUGAGCUAAUAUUGUAGCUUGUGCACGAGGAAAUCAGGAGAUCGAUUUUCCACCGACAUAAUGCUUCCAAGAGUACACUCCGAAGGUAAGGGAUCUCGGAUCGUGCUUCUCUCGAGAUCUAUUGAUGCCUCACACAGAUUGAAAAUCGGCUAAGACCCUAAUGGACGAAGGUAUCCCCUGAGAAAUGUAUCGGGGGUCGUUGAGACUCAUCCAAGCAGCUCGGUGCCAGUCCUCGUGCGAUGUAAGAAAAAUGGAUUGUCACAUCUCAUUCUUUUGUUGUACUAUGUAUUCUGUACUAAGUUUGGACGCCCCUAUCUAUAAAAGAGGGGUCACUAGUGCCUUGUAAAACAUCUCCAACUAUC
Molecule: long non-coding RNA, 680 nt
Filed under: Nicotiana benthamiana
Lineage: Eukaryota; Viridiplantae; Streptophyta; Magnoliopsida; Solanales; Solanaceae
Description: long non-coding RNA (NBEN_LNC018677)
Source: RNAcentral